Molecule: long non-coding RNA, 3487 nt
Organism: Lates calcarifer (barramundi perch)
Lineage: Eukaryota; Metazoa; Chordata; Actinopteri; Centropomidae
Exons: 2
Source: RefSeq, a predicted model, not a curated record
GGGAAGACGAGCCGCAUCAGUUUUCUUUGCAGAGCUGACACGAAACUUCACAUCCUGAGUCCACCUAGCUGAGAUCCCUCCUCUCAUACUCCUGCAUCAUGCCAUGUCAGUCUCCACUCGUGCUGCGAGUAGAAAACCAGUCCUGCACAUGCAACCCUCAGUCACCUCAUCCAGGGCAAGAAGCUCAGGAGUCAGACCCAUCGAGCCCACCGCGCAACCACAUUUCCCUCUGUCGCAGUGAUGGUGGUAAGCCUGUCCAGACUGUGGCUCAGCCAGGACCGCUGCAGGAGUCACAAACCAGUUCUGAGACCCACUGCCAACGUCUCGGACCUCAGCCCAAACCCAAAGCCCUGGCCCCGACUGUGAACGCAGCCCUGGAAGGGGAAGGAAACAGGGGAAAAGGUGUGGGGGUAGCUCAGGGAAAGAAGCAUCACUGUGGGGUGUGUGGGCAUCUGCUGCUGGCUGUUGUCCUGACUGUCUUCUCCCCGCUGAUCGCUGUGGGAGUGUGUGUGGCUGAUAUUGUGACAGGAGAGUGCUGCAGUGCGUGUGGGAAAGACAUGGACUCUGUGGAUGACCCAUAGACUUUAUAAAGAUAUAUCCUCAUAUAUACUCUGUGAGAUGUCCUGAUGUAAGUGAAGAACUAUGAAGAAUUUUGUGUAUAUUAGAGAAUGUGAACUUAAAGGACCAAACUAGUAGUUGUCCAUGUUGUCCAAAUUAUCAUUAUUAUUAUUAUUAUUACUGAUAUUACUUAUAGUUUUGAUUUCAUAUCAUAGGUUUUGGACUAAUUUCUUAGUUUUCACAUACUGUAUGAAAAUCUACUUGCAGGACUUUGGAAAUUUGCUUGAGAGGCAGUCCAUUGCAGUGUACAUCCUACUGCCUUUAUUUUAAGAUACAGACUUACAGUAUGUAAAACCUUGGGAAGAGCUGCGAUUGGGAAUAGGAACAAUAUUCAAAAUCUCUCCUUGUGGUGGAGGAGGUGGUCAAGGAACCUCCAACAUUCAAUUAUUAAUAGAGGGUGUCAUUUAUUAUUGCAGUGACCAGUUUUUUUUUAUUGGAAAAGGAAACCUUGGAGACAAACAGUGACACCAGCUGUCCAACAAACAGCUCGACUGUUUACAUAAAAACAAUCCAUUUGCUGUUAAGUCUGUGAGUGAUUUUUGUGGAAUACUAAAAUCAAACCUGUGGUUCCCUGGAACUUAAUCUAGGAAAAGCAUGCACUGGAUGCUUUUGUUGACAUGAUCAAUAAAUUAGUGGGAUAAACCCAACGCUAUUAUCCUGUCAGACAGUGUUACACCUGCACUUUAUGUAAAAUUGAAGGGAGAAAAAUAAAUUAUCCUCUCAGCAACUGUUCCUGUCUUCUAAAGAAUUCCUCUGGCAUCAUUCAUAUUAAUAUGCUUCACCUUGUCAUCUGUGUAGAGUGAAGAUAAAUUGCUCAGUGCUCCUAAGGAUAUAGGUUUUCAUGUAAUGUGCUCCACCUAGUGGCAUGAUAGUAAAGUGCUUGUGUUGAAGAUACAUUUACAUAACCUCCAGUUAACUGUAUACAUGCUAUGUAAUCCUGCUUCAGGCUACAACUGUUAGAUCAAGAUGAUGAAAUGCAGUCAUCUCACUACAAGUGCAAUUUUGAAAUACUUGUACUUCACUUGAGUAUUUCUAUUUUAAGGUAUUUGAAGAAAUACUAUACUUUUUACUGCACAGUUUUGACAGCUUUAAUUAUUAGUUACUUUUCAAAUUCAAAAUUUUCAAACCAGUAGUUCCCAACAAUUCUUCUUUGCACCUUUUCGCCCCCCAAAAACAGUGUCUAUUUGGAGCCCAUGCACGUUUCACAUGCCCAUGAGUUGUUUGUAGUUCCAUCAAAAUUGUUUUUCCCUCUAAACUUCUCAAGUUGUUUUUAUUAAAAUAAAUGUUUGAGGUCUAAAUAGGUCACACUCUCCAAUAUUUCACAAACAGGCAAGAUUAAUGAAAUGUCCAAAAUGUUAAUUCAUAUUUAUGUAGCACAUUAUCCCACUAAUAAUCUCACUUGGACUUAUUUUUUGACCCACUAGAGGGGGCAAGACCCCUUGGUGGUAAAACCACAGAAGUGUGCUGGUACUUAAAAACUAUCUCCACCUUGACCAUCUUCAACAGUUAAGUGCAAACAAUCUAAUAAUGUAAUAUAUAACACUUCAUCAGUCACAGGGGGCAUUUUUCUUCAUAAGGAGAACUUGUAGUGAAUGACUGGUGUUCCUGCUGCACUGGUACUUUUUCUUAAGUAAAGGAACGGAGUAUUUAAUCACUGAUCUCAUCAAAGAAGUGACAAAAAAAAAAAAAAAAAAAAAAUCAGUCUUCAUUGUGGAUCAAUGUUAAAGCCUGUUAUUCAUUGCAAACAUUUAUUACAUUUUUAUGAUGCAAACAACAGCAAGUCCCACCCUUGUUGGAACAGCUCAUCACGUAGUCAUGAGGGAAUGAAAGAGACACAAAGGGACGGGGACAGAAAAAGAGUGUAUUACGCGCAAUUCCAUUGUUUCUGUUAAAAAAAAACAUGACAAUCAGCUCUCAUUGUAAAUUUUGGCAUCUUCUUCCCUCCUGUUGUACUCUCUGGAAUAAUGGUCAUUAAAAAUCAAAAGAACAAGGCAUGCAUAAUAGUUUCUGGUAAUGCACAAAGAUCAAAGGAUACCACUUAUAAAUACAAAAUCCAUGUACGAUGUUGGUGUACAUUUCAUAUAUACAUGGUCCCUUUCUUAGAGGUGUCGUAGGCCUAUCUACCUGUUCCCACUAUGGGAUUGUGUCCUCUGUUAUCUACGCUUGGUCACUAGAUUCACCCUGUAAAAAGGUCUGCGCUGCAAAAUACAUCUGUAGGAUGAACUAUUAAUAUUGAUGACAACUACUAGAUGUUACAACCAUCUGUUUAUUCCUCCCUUCAUCUCUUACUGCAUGUUAUUAUCAAGCUAUUUAUUCAAAAGCUUCAUUUACUUAAAUAGUUUUCUUUGCAUCAACUGACCAUUGUGCUGUCUACACGAUUUCAUCAAACCUCACGGGGGUUAUAGCCAGUAUUAUUUUUCUAUUAAAAUUCUCCUCCCACUGCUUCACUACCACCCCAUGCUUCUCUUUAAAAAAGGGGAGCCCACAGUUUACUUAGAUCCAUUCAAUGCUUCUGUGCCCACAAGAAAGAAGUCUGGAACAAAAGUAUUUUAACUCCCAAGUAACCAAAAUAAAUGGAUCACUAAGAUAAAUGCACUGGUCCAUUUUAAUAAAUGGGUGAAACAGCCACAUGUCUAUAGUGAGGGCUGUAUACGUGGCCACACAGUUUAUUUAUUGAAAUCAUGUAGGAAAAAAAAAGAAAAGAAAAAAACUGGAGAAACCAAAACUCAGUGAUUAAAUAUAAUGUUGAAUGACUGUCUUUACUGUUAAAAAAAGUGUACUGCAAUGUAUACAACUAUGUUGCUCUCUGUCAUUGCUCAAAAUGGGAUGAAGAGGGGGAAGAGGCGCUGGGGAUUUUUUGAUACAUGUA